Pelobates cultripes (western spadefoot toad) is the source of this 297-nucleotide non-coding RNA. Lineage: Eukaryota; Metazoa; Chordata; Amphibia; Anura; Pelobatidae. The record is from the annotation of a GenBank genome assembly.
UAUAUAUAUUCUUCAUAAAUAUUUUUGAUGCUGGUUAUCCAGGGAGCAUCUUGUGCUGUCACUGCUUUUGUACGAAAUAUUAAAAUAUUGUCUACUGUGUAAGGCAGAUCAGUUUCUAAUCAUGCAACGGCCAUUUUGUUUCUAAGAGUAUGAGUGUCUGGAAGCAUGCAUAUCUUGUACUCUUUCCCCUCUGCAGCAUCCAUUGUCUCAUGCAUACCUCUAAGUUCAAAAGUGAAAGAUAUAAUAAAGCUAUGUAGAGACAUAUCAGAAGUUGCAGUGAAUUUAGCUGAAGAAGAA